This 462-nucleotide ribosomal RNA is filed under the name uncultured bacterium. Its description in RNAcentral is "partial 16S ribosomal RNA". It matches the Rfam family "Bacterial small subunit ribosomal RNA", at positions 29 to 507 of the family's 1533-position model. The record is from RNAcentral.
AACAAACGCUGGCGGCGUGCCUAAUACAUGCAAGUCGAACGGGGAAAGCUUUCGGGUGAGUACUAGUGGCGCACGGGUGAGGAACGCGUGGAUAAUCUGCCUUAGAGUGGGGGAUAACUAGUCGAAAGAUUAGCUAAUACCGCAUAAGACCACGAGAGCUGCGGCUUUUGAGGUCAAAGGUUUUUCGCUCUAAGAUGAGUCCGCGUAAGAUUAGCUAGUUGGUGAGGUAACGGCUCACCAAGGCGACGAUCUUUAACUGGUCUGAGAGGAUGAUCAGUCACACUGGAACUGAGACACGGUCCAGACUCCUACGGGAGGCAGCAGUAGGGAAUAUUGCACAAUGGAGGAAACUCUGAUGCAGCGACGCCGCGUGAGUGAUGGAGGCCUUCGGGUCGUAAAGCUCUGUCGCAGGGGAAUAACACAAUGAAGGUACCCUGUAAGAAAGGAUCGGCUAACUUCGUG